AGUUUUAUAUUCAAGAAUGAUUUAAAAUUGCAAAUUUUAAGGUAUAUAAUUUUUAUAUUAAAACUU
Molecule: transfer RNA, 66 nt
Filed under: Cigaritis takanonis
Lineage: Eukaryota; Metazoa; Arthropoda; Insecta; Lepidoptera; Lycaenidae
Description: tRNA-Cys
Source: RNAcentral